CGUCGGCCAGCAGGGCGGCGGUGCGGGCCGCCUCCGCGUCGGCCCGCUGGCGGGCGUAGGCGGCCAGUUCUGCGCGGGUGUCGACGC
This 87-nucleotide transfer RNA is filed under the name Paraplanobispora siamensis. RNAcentral's name for it is "Planobispora siamensis tRNA-Arg". The record is from RNAcentral. Lineage: Bacteria; Bacillati; Actinomycetota; Actinomycetes; Streptosporangiales; Streptosporangiaceae.